This 457-nucleotide ribosomal RNA is filed under the name uncultured bacterium. Its description in RNAcentral is "bacterial SSU rRNA". It matches the Rfam family "Bacterial small subunit ribosomal RNA", at positions 340 to 786 of the family's 1533-position model. The record is from RNAcentral.
UACGGGAGGCAGCAGUGGGGAAUAUUGCACAAUGGGCGCAAGCCUGAUGCAGCCAUGCCGCGUGUAUGAAGAAGGCCUUCGGGUUGUAAAGUACUUUCAGCGGGGAGGAAGGCGAUGCGGUUAAUAACCGCGUCGAUUGACGUUACCCGCAGAAGAAGCACCGGCUAACUCCGUGCCAGCAGCCGCGGUAAUACGGAGGGUGCAAGCGUUAAUCGGAAUUACUGGGCGUAAAGCGCACGCAGGCGGUCUGUUAAGUCAGAUGUGAAAUCCCCGGGCUUAACCUGGGAACUGCAUUUUGAAACUGGCAGGCUUGAGUCUUGUAGAGGGGGUAGAAUUCCAGGUGUAGCGGUGAAAUGCGUAGAGAUCUGGAGGAAUACCGGUGGCGAAGGCGGCCCCUGGGACAAAGACUGACGCUCAGGGUGCGAAAGCGUGGGGAGCAAACAGGGAUUAGGAUACC